CCUACGGGAGGCAGCAGUAGGGAAUCUUCCGCAAUGGACGAAAGUCUGACGGAGCAACGCCGCGUGAACGAUGAAGGCCUUCGGGUCGUAAAGUUCUGUUGUUAGGGAAGAACAAGUGCUAGUUGAAUAAGCUGGCACCUUGACGGUACCUAACCAGAAAGCCACGGCUAACUACGUGCCAGCAGCCGCGGUAAUACGUAGGUGGCAAGCGUUGUCCGGAAUUAUUGGGCGUAAAGCGCGCGCAGGCGGUUUCUUAAGUCUGAUGUGAAAGCCCCCGGCUCAACCGGGGAGGGUCAUUGGAAACUGGGAAACUUGAGUGCAGAAGAGGAAAGUGGAAUUCCAAGUGUAGCGGUGAAAUGCGUAGAGAUUUGGAGGAACACCAGUGGCGAAGGCGACUUUCUGGUCUGUAACUGACGCUGAGGCGCGAAAGCGUGGGGAGCAAACAGGAUUAGAUACCCUGGUAGUCCACGCUGUAAACGAUGAGUGCUAAGUGUUAGAGGGUUUCCGCCCUUUAGUGCUGAAGUUAACGCAUUAAGCACUCCGCCUGGGGAGUACGGUCGCAAGCUGAAACUNAAAUUGAAUUGACGG
RNAcentral lists this ribosomal RNA (588 nucleotides) under uncultured bacterium. RNAcentral describes it as "bacterial SSU rRNA". It matches the Rfam family "Bacterial small subunit ribosomal RNA", at positions 338 to 916 of the family's 1533-position model. The record is from RNAcentral.